CCUACGGGAGGCAGCAGUGGGGAAUAUUGCACAAUGGGUGAAACCCUGAUGCAGCGAAGCCGCGUGAGUGAAGAAGUAAUUCGUUAUGUAAAGCUCUAUCAGCCGGGAAGCAAAUGACGGUACCUGAGUAAGAAGCCCCGGCUAACUACGUGCCAGCAGCCGCGGAAAUACGUAGGGGGCCAGCGGUAUCCGGAUUUACUGGGUGUAAAGGGAGCGUAGACGGGAGUGCAAGUCUGGAGUGAAAGGCGGGGGCUCAACCCCCGGACUGCUCUGGAAACUGUACGGCUGGAGUGCAGGAGAGGUAAGUGGAAUGCGUGGUGUAGCGGUGAAAUGCAUAGAUAUUAGGAGGAACACCGGUGGCGAAGGCGGCUUACUGGACUGUAACUGACGUUGAGGCUCGAAAGCGUGGGGAGCAAACAGGAUUAGAUACCCUGGUAGUC
Molecule: ribosomal RNA, 440 nt
Filed under: uncultured bacterium
Lineage: Bacteria
Description: partial 16S ribosomal RNA
Rfam family: Bacterial small subunit ribosomal RNA
Source: RNAcentral